UACUUCACGUUCUGUCUGCGCAUGACGUCACGGACGACGAGAGGUGUUUGUUCUGGAUCCUGGGAAAGAAACAUCCCGCGCACCUUGACAACCGAAUAAACGAGGUGUACUCCCCUUUUCCUCAUCAGCAGUGUGCUCUGUGAUCAAUUAGCUGGGUUUGGACCAGCGUCUCUAAGGGGACUCUUCUCUGGAUCAGGUGACGGGCCGGGCCACGCGGCACCUCUUUGCUGAAAGAGGCCGGAGAGGAAAUGCACUCUCGAUUAAGGACCUCCACGCAGAGAUACACAUGAAGCCAGACCCAGGCAGCCCCCUCCUCCCCUCUCCCUUCCAUGACUGAAUGUUGCAGUAAG
Molecule: long non-coding RNA, 350 nt
Organism: Oncorhynchus nerka (sockeye salmon)
Lineage: Eukaryota; Metazoa; Chordata; Actinopteri; Salmoniformes; Salmonidae
Exons: 3
Source: RefSeq, a predicted model, not a curated record